This 63-nucleotide transfer RNA is filed under the name Andrena nigroaenea. RNAcentral describes it as "tRNA-His". Lineage: Eukaryota; Metazoa; Arthropoda; Insecta; Hymenoptera; Andrenidae. The record is from RNAcentral.
GUUUAAAUAGUUUAAUUAAAAUUUUGAUUUGUGGAGUCAAGGAUGUAUUUAUUACUUUAAAUA